AGUCGAGCGAACGGACGAGAAGCUUGCUUCUCUGAUGUUAGCGGCGGACGGGUGAGUAACACGUGGAUAACCUACCUAUAAGACUGGGAUAACUUCGGGAAACCGGAGCUAAUACCGGAUAAUAUUUUGAACCGCAUGGUCCAAAAGUGAAAGACGGUCUUGCUGUCACUUAUAGAUGGAUCCGCGCUGCAUUAGCUAGUUGGUAAGGUAACGGCUUACCAAGGCAACGAUGCAUAGCCGACCUGAGAGGGUGAUCGGCCACACUGGAACUGAGACACGGUCCAGACUCCUACGGGAGGCAGCAGUAGGGAAUCUUCCGCAAUGGGCGAAAGCCUGACGGAGCAACGCCGCGUGAGUGAUGAAGGUCUUCGGAUCGUAAAACUCUGUUAUUAGGGAAGAACAUAUGUGUAAGUAACUGUGCACAUCUUGACGGUACCUAAUCAGAAAGCCACGGCUAACUACGUGCCAGCAGCCGCGGUAAUACGUAGGUGGCAAGCGUUAUCCGGAAUUAUUGGGCGUAAAGCGCGCGUAGGCGGUUUUUUAAGUCUGAUGUGAAAGCCCACGGCUCAACCGUGGAGGGUCAUUGGAAACUGGAAAACUUGAGUGCAGAAGAGGAAAGCGGAAUUCCAUGUGUAGCGGUGAAAUGCGCAGAGAUAUGGAGGAACACCAGUGGCGAAGGCGACUUUCUGGUCUGUAACUGACGCUGAUGUGCGAAAGCGUGGGGAUCAAACAGGA
RNAcentral lists this ribosomal RNA (735 nucleotides) under uncultured Staphylococcus sp. Its description in RNAcentral is "bacterial SSU rRNA". It matches the Rfam family "Bacterial small subunit ribosomal RNA", at positions 60 to 777 of the family's 1533-position model. Lineage: Bacteria; Bacillati; Bacillota; Bacilli; Caryophanales; Staphylococcaceae. The record is from RNAcentral.